Cordylochernes scorpioides is the source of this 73-nucleotide non-coding RNA. The record is from the annotation of a GenBank genome assembly. NCBI's taxonomy places the organism in Eukaryota, Metazoa, Arthropoda, Arachnida, Pseudoscorpiones, Chernetidae.
GUCCAGGGAUGGGAAUCGAACCCACGACCUUCCGCUUACCGGGCAGAUGUCAUGUCCACUAGGCUACCCUGGA